UUGUCCCCUUGAAUUUCCCUGAACACUUCAUUAGCAAUUCCUUAGGUUUCACUGACACCAGUGAGGCCCUAUAGUUAGCCAUAUUGAAGUGUUUGGGGGAACUCUAGGAGCCAU
Non-coding RNA from Glycine soja, 114 nucleotides. The record is from Rfam. NCBI's taxonomy places the organism in Eukaryota, Viridiplantae, Streptophyta, Magnoliopsida, Fabales, Fabaceae.